AACGAACGCUGGCGGCAGGCUUAACACAUGCAAGUCGAACGCCCUCUUCGGAGGGAGUGGCAGACGGGUGAGUAACGCGUGGGAAACUACCUUUCAGUACGGAACAACAGUUAGAAAUGACUGCUAAUACCGUAUACGCCCUUCGGGGGAAAGAUUUAUCGCUGAUAGAUGUGCCCGCGUUAGAUUAGCUAGUUGGUGAGGUAAUGGCUCACCAAGGCGACGAUCUAUAGCUGGUCUGAGAGGAUGAUCAGCCACACUGGGACUGAGACACGGCCCAGACUCCUACGGGAGGCAGCAGUGGGGAAUAUUGGACAAUGGGGGCAACCCUGAUCCAGCCAUGCCGCGUGAGUGAUGAAGGCCCUAGGGUU
Molecule: ribosomal RNA, 368 nt
Filed under: uncultured bacterium
Lineage: Bacteria
Description: bacterial SSU rRNA
Rfam family: Bacterial small subunit ribosomal RNA
Source: RNAcentral